This 828-nucleotide long non-coding RNA is filed under the name Equus caballus (horse). RNAcentral's name for it is "lncRNA (ENSECAG00000045527.1)". Lineage: Eukaryota; Metazoa; Chordata; Mammalia; Perissodactyla; Equidae. The record is from RNAcentral.
CCAUCUUUUCAUUUUCUUGAUAGUUUCCUUUGCUGUGCAGAAGCUGUUCAGUUUGAUGCAGUCCCAUUUGUUUAUUUUUUCUAUUGUUUCACUUGCCUGGUUGGAUGUGGCACUUGAAAAUAUGCUGCUAAGACUGAGUGCUGGAAGUCAGUGAAAUAUUGUGACCCCAUUAUGGAGCACCAGACAUCCAAGUUCAAAUUCUGGAUCUGCCACUUGCCAAGGGGAAGGUUGUCAUGUUUUCUGAACUCUCUCAGCCUCAAAGUUGUUCCACAGAUAAAAUCUAUAUAAGUAUGAUUAUACAUAUUGCCACAAGAUCAAAGUCAAUGCCACCAAGAUUCUACUUCCCUUUUGUCUACACGAUGCGGGUUGAAUGCCUAAAAUUGGAAUUUAAGGUCCUUGUAGUCCAAUUCCAACGUGACUUCCUCAGCUUCAACUCUUAAGGGAAUCCUUCUCUGACUCGAUUUGGAUACUCAAACCAACGUACUACAAUAUGGAUGGUUUGCAGAUCACGGCAGCAUCGUAUGCCACGGUGCUGUAACAUCAAUGAAUACAUGGAAUGUCAGAUACUCAGCUAUCAUGUUUUGCAAACACAGAAGUAGUGAAAAUGUUUUACUAAAAAUCUAUGCACAGAACCUAGAAUCUUCAAACCUCUGAGGCAUCUUCCCACAGAGGAAUCUCUUGUAUUUCUAAUCUGGUUCAAACUGCUAUUGUCGCUAAUAUCUGAAUAGAAAUAUUUCACUGAACUAUGAAAAGCAUGUAAAGAGGUAAAAUCUAAAAGGCUUAAAGAAAGAAUACACUUUAAAAUAUAUCAUUUUUGAAAAAAGUAAA